GACGAACGCUGGCGGCGUGCCUAAUACAUGCAAGUCGAGCGAGCGGAACUAACAGAUUUACUUCGGUAAUGACGUUAGGAAAGCGAGCGGCGGAUGGGUGAGUAACACGUGGGGAACCUGCCCCAUAGUCUGGGAUACCACUUGGAAACAGGUGCUAAUACCGGAUAAGAAAGCAGAUCGCAUGAUCAGCUUUUAAAAGGCGGCGUAAGCUGUCGCUAUGGGAUGGCCCCGCGGUGCAUUAGCUAGUUGGUAAGGUAAAGGCUUACCAAGGCGAUGAUGCAUAGCCGAGUUGAGAGGCUGAUCGGCCACAUUGGGACUGAGACACGGCCCAAACUCCUACGGGAGGCAGCAGUAGGGAAUCUUCCACAAUGGGCGCAAGUCUGAUGGAGCAACGCCGCGUGAGUGAAGAAGGUUUUCGGAUCGUAAAGCUCUGUUGUUGGUGAAGAAGGAUAGAGGUAGUAACUGGCCUUUAUUUGACGGUAAUCAACCAGAAAGUCACGGCUAACUACGUGCCAGCAGCCGCGGUAAUACGUAGGUGGCAAGCGUUGUCCGGAUUUAUUGGGCGUAAAGCGAGCGCAGGCGGAAGAAUAAGUCUGAUGUGAAAGCCUUCGGCUUAACCGAGGAACUGCAUCGGAAACUGUUUUUCUUGAGUGCAGAAGAGGAGAGUGGAACUCCAUGUGUAGCGGUGGAAUGCGUAGAUAUAUGGAAGAACACCAGUGGCGAAGGCGGCUCUCUGGUCUGCAACUGACGCUGAGGCUCGAAAGCAUGGGUAGCGAACAGGAUUAGAUACCCUGGUAGUCCAUGCCGUAAACGAUGAGUGCUAAGUGUUGGGAGGUUUCCGCCUCUCAGUGCUGCAGCUAACGCAUUAAGCACUCCGCCUGGGGAGUACGACCGCAAGGUUGAAACUCAAAGGAAUUGACGGGGGCCCGCACAAGCGGUGGAGCAUGUGGUUUAAUUCGAAGCAACGCGAAGAACCUUACCAGGUCUUGACAUCUAGUGCCAUUUGUAGAGAUACAAAGUUCCCUUCGGGGACGCUAAGACAGGUGGUGCAUGGCUGUCGUCAGCUCGUGUCGUGAGAUGUUGGGUUAAGUCCCGCAACGAGCGCAACCCUUGUUAUUAGUUGCCAGCAUUAAGUUGGGCACUCUAAUGAGACUGCCAGUGACAAACCGGAGGAAGGUGGGGAUGACGUCAAGUCAUCAUGCCCCUUAUGACCUGGGCUACACACGUGCUACAAUGGGCAGUACAACGAGAAGCGAGCCUGCGAAGGCAAGCGAAUCUCUGAAAGCUGUUCUCAGUUCGGACUGCAGUCUGCAACUCGACUGCACGAAGCUGGAAUCGCUAGUAAUCGCGGAUCAGCACGCCGCGGUGAAUACGUUCCCGGGCCU
Molecule: ribosomal RNA, 1385 nt
Filed under: uncultured bacterium
Lineage: Bacteria
Description: bacterial SSU rRNA
Rfam family: Bacterial small subunit ribosomal RNA
Source: RNAcentral